RNAcentral lists this long non-coding RNA (15443 nucleotides) under Xyrichtys novacula (pearly razorfish). Lineage: Eukaryota; Metazoa; Chordata; Actinopteri; Labriformes; Labridae. The record is from RNAcentral.
GCCGCAUUUGUGAUUUUUUUUAAGUCUGCAGUUGAAUCUGCUGUUUAAGGAUUUGCCACUUUGAUCCUUGUUCCUGUAAAUGAUUUUAUUGAACCAAUCUGCCUGAGCAGAUGGUGUAAAGUUCUAUGUUUGAGGGUGCAGACGCAGCCUGCUGUAAAAUGUUAACCCUUUGUUGUCAGUGGAGAGACUGACCCUUUGGCCUUAAGCAGAUAAGGCCCUUCAAGGAGGCAGAGCCUAAAGGCCCCUUCCUGCACACUUCCCAACUCCUCACAGCCACAAGAGGCUAGUUGGAUGACUGUUUCCUCUUCUCUUCUUCUUCUCCACUUGUGUUGAGCUUGUGCAGUUACCCCAACUCCAUACUGCCCCACAUGGUUGUUUUUGGUAUUGAGCUAACACUGCUAUUAUCUGCCUGCAGUAUCAGCCAGCUGUACUGCCUCUCUGUAGUCAGUGUGUAACACUCUACAGACAUAACUCAAGUGAUUGACUUGGUUGAUGAAGUUUGAUGUGCUUAUUCUAAAUCAUUGAUCAUUGAUUUUUGAUUUUUAUCUUUGUUAUAAGAGCCUACAUAAUGUAUUGAUAAAGUAACUCAUUGAAUCAAUCACCUGAUCUGUUGUUACUUAUCACACCAUUGAGCAGUUUUACUGUUCCCUAUAAUACAUGAAUGUAUUAACCCUCCUCAUAAGAUUAAUUAAUUAAUGAACAAAUUAAUUAAUAUUUGAAAUCUAUUUUACCAUUUCAGAUGAAUUGGGUAGUUGAAUCUUUGGCUUUAUUGCGAUUUGUGAAUUAACUUCAGAGUUAAUUCCUUAAAUUGACAAUUUCAUUGGUUUCAGAUUCAUCCAACUGCAUCAGGCAGUUUAUUUAAGCUUUGCUGAUCUCUGCAACACGGAGACAAUUUGAACCCUUUAUUCAAUGGUUCUGUAUCUGAUGUUAAAUUUAAUUUAACAUUAUUUCACCUUGUUUUAUUUCAAUUUUCAUUGAAAUGAAUUUAACUUUAUGUUAUUUUUCUCUCCAUUAGAGAUCUACUCAGAUAGGCUCUUCCUCUUUAUCAAGCACUGAUAAAUUAAGUCGAUUAACUCACUUAAUUUGAUAUUUUGCUUCUUCUUUUCAUUUUAAGCCAACUCAAACUCAUCAACCAACCACCUGCUCCUCUUUACCAAAACCAAACAUGCCUAACACAAAAGAGUCCAGCCAGGGAGACCCCCUGAGGGACAUACACACAGUGUUAGCAAACUUAACUAGUCAGCUGAUACCUCAGUACAUGACUAAGAUUCAUAAGGCCAAACCCUCCAAUCCGGAGGAUGAAAUGGCUGACUUACUGGAAACAGCCUUAACCACGACACUUCGUGACAAAGAGCUCACUAGAUGCAUGUCUGUCAUGAUGUCUUCUCAGCUUGAGUAUAAAGACUACUUGCUGGAAUGCGCUUUCGCAAAGAUAAAGGCGCAAAAAGAUGAAAACAGCGCUCUGAAAAAGACGCUAGAGGAGACUAAGAAGUCUUUAAGUGUUUUAGAAAAACACAGUGCCAGAUGUGAAGCGUCAAAGCUUCCCUCACUGAUAAGUCAUGAAGAAAAUCUUGAUCUCAAAGACAAGAUUGAAAGACUUAAUGAAAACCUUUACAAAAAGGAGAAAGAACUUGAUGACACGAAUAAGCAGCUUGCUAAGACCACAGAGGAUCUGAUACAGUCAGAAUCCCUACUAGAGCAAGCAACAGAAGAUGUAAAAGCUUUGAAAGCACUGGUCAAAGUGCGUGCUGAAGCUCUUGAAGUUAAGGAGAAGCAAACUUCUACCUUACAGCACCAGCUCAAGAUAGCUCAAAGACAGUUAAUUCUUUGUCAAGAACGGCAAGAAAAGACAGACAAAGAACUUGAAGAUGCCCAAAGAGAGUUACAAUGCUCCCUCCAGUCGGGUCGAGCCCAAAGAGAACGCAUGGAGCAAACUUUUCUUGAAGAAAUGAUAGGUGAUCAGCCUCCUGAGAGAGCGCCAUCACUUCCUUCCAAACCAACUCUUAAGUAUCUCUCUCAGCAUCAUGACAGGACCCUGCUUGACCCUGAGAGGUCAUCCUUAAACCAAGAGUCCUACUCUCCUCCCCAUGAUGGCUUCUUACCAUUUCCCUCAGAUAGGGAUCUUGACAAAAUUGCUCGCAACAUAGCACGCUUUGAACCUGAGCACCAAGGUGCUACUGACACCUGCACCUACUUGAAAGACAUUGACUUUUACCUGAGGAAAUUUCCAGGUGCAACCAUUGAUGACAAAAUCUACCUUAUUAAGGCGACGUCAAGUCGAGAGGUUAGCAGUUUCCUUGAACGACAGCCUUAUCAUGUCAGAAAUAAUUAUGACUUGCUCUGCCAAGCAUUAAUCAAAGAGUUUUCUGAUCAUUUGACCCAGACAGGCCUUUCUGCUGCUCUGUCUAUUAAACAAGGGAGAUCAGAAUCUCCCCAACAUUAUUACAACCGCUUACGCGAAGCUUACUUUGGUUUCCGAAAUGAACCAGAAAUGGAGGAGGACUUGAACUUCAAAACGCUGUUCGUCCAGAACCUCCACCCUACCACCAGUCAUCACCUUGGCGUCUUAGCUUGUCCAAACACUUCGACUAGCCGACAGCUUCGUGAACUUGCUGUAAAAGGUUUUGCCAAACAACGACAAACUUUGGCUAAGAAAGCAGAGUCCGUUACUCUCUUGGCUAUGGAGACAAGAUCACUGCCCAUGGAGCUGAACGAAGCUUCAGACUGUGUAUUUUCAGGCUCCGAUAAGCCUCCAAAUGAGUGGUUAACCAGGCCUUCAAAACCUUUUCGACCGCAACAAACUCACAUAGGUCAAAGUUACACACCAAGGCCCAGUUCUGACACAGACCAACGCCAGGUAAACUUUGAGACCAACCGUUGUUAUUCAGACUCCCGUCACGGUGGGUUUUAUCCCAGACAAAGGAAAAACCAUCAACACCGCCAAAGGGGGGUGAAUGACUGGCAGAAUCAGAGUAAAUUACACUCUCAGAAACGACGAUCUUAUUAUCCACCUCAAUCGGUUUCAUCCACUUUGAAGGUGAAUAAACAUGACUACUCAGCUAACCACUGAGAUUAACACUGUGGAGUCAUGAAGGUGUGAGUCCUGCGAAAGCAGAAGUCACCUAGCCAAAGCUAAAUGACUCCAAUAAGAUAUCCAAAUGCUGUGGUGAUACAUUGAUGACUGCAAUACCAGUUGCUGCUUUCUUUGUUAGCAUUUGUCUCUCCUCUGUCAAUAUAGUCAGCUUGUCAGCUGUCAAAUAUCCCAUGAACAGAUUAAAAGCUGAAAUUUCUGUCACUAAGACUCAGAUUGACAAAUUUCAGACUCAACAGCAGAUAAUUAGUCAAACCGAUAAGAGCAUCAUCCCCAAGUUUAACAGACAAAGUUUAAGAGAAACUCUGUGCAGUAAACUUUUGAUGUUUGUGAUUCAGGUUGACUAUGCUCAUACACAGAUGGUUAAUAUGUCUAUAGCAGACAUUUCUUUUCCACCUAAGUCUUAACCAUUUUUGAAACUGAAAUUGAACUUUCAGACUUCUCCAGCAAGCAUGAAAAACAGCUAUAGCUUUAGAUCCAGUUAGCAUUCAGACUAAAGAGUGCUUUUCUAAAUCUCAUUAAUACUGAAAAUUAGGAGAUUUUCUUUCACAUUAGUCUACCAAUAGUUAACUGAGAAAAGUCUAACACCUAGACGAUUUUAUUUGAUAGCUUAAUGCAUGCUUGAUGUUAUCUUAAAGCAGAUACUAGUGAUUCACAUAGUGAUAAUGAGACGCAUCAGUCCUAUUUGCAUACACCUGCUGCUGCUGCUGCUGCUUCAUGGUUGUCUACUCGUCGUCCCGAUGCUCCAUGGACAGGACCACCGUGACGAAGGGGGGACUGUAGCAAUCAAGACAACCCUGGGUGUGAAACCCACACAUUCCUCACAGGAAAGCUUCCUUAUCUGGUCCCAGGAAACAGGAUAUAAAUCUUUCCAGACGUGUUUGCACUUUCAGGUUAAAUAAGUGACCCAACAGGAGGUUGACUAAACCUCUGACUCUUCACGAUUGGUCAAUUCGGAGAACAGAGACAGAGUUUUAUUACCUUUCAAACUGACUCCAUUUGCUGACCAUCUAAAUAAACAUUAACGUCUCAACCCAGAUCUCCCAUUUGAGAUUUAGUGUCUUAAAGUGUGUGAACAUACGGACCCUAGGAAAAGGGGGGACACUGACCUCCAGACCUCGGUCGUAAAACCCUGCUCGACCAUACACUGAUAAAGACUGCAUUCCUUUGGUGAAAGAAUACAAAUGACUGAUCAUGACAUCUUAUGCAUUCAGCAAUGUACUAAUCUGUCUAAUCAUGAAAUUUGUGUCAAAAUGAGAUGUUUCCCGUUUUUCUAUGUGCUUCAGAAGCCAAGUUAUCUUAUCUGACAGAAUAAAUCCUUAUUCUUUAGUUCUUUAGACCAACAGCUUUUCAGACUGUUUCAUGAACUUUUAAGAGUUAAAUUUAUUGACUAUGAAUCCUAAGUUUACUCUAAGUAACAGAAAUAGUUUAGAAAUGUUUGGUUUAUAUUGUAGUUGUUUAUUUAGUAUUUUUAACCAUUAGGUGGUUAUAAUGUCAUUGAAUAACCUUAAUGUGAGUAUUUAGAAUCCAUUAUUAAUCAUGAUGAAGUUCAUUCACAUGUGUUUACGCUUUUGUUGUUCACAGUUUCCAUGUGUUACUGUCUGUUUCAUUUCAGAGUAAUUUAGCAUGUUCAAUGUGAUACUUAAAACAUAAUGAGAAUGUUUGAUGUGAUCCUACACUUCAUUCAUAUGUGUUUAGUGUCAAAUUAUUUGUCAUGAAACCAAGCAUUCAAUGAUAUUAAUCAUAGUGAGUGAGUAUCAGAUCUGACUCUUUUACCAGCCAAAAGAAUAAGUUAGAUCAAAUAAUCAAAGACCACACGACCCCUCCUCUGUCUCCUCACACACACGCCGGAGCCACUCCCAGUGUGAAGAAGAUAAAACCAGUGAAGUCGGGUUGCUCACACGCUCUUAUUCCUCUUAUUCCGCUUAUGCUUCUGCUCUUCUGCCCACACCCUUCUGUGGUGCGUUUCUUUAUUUUCUCUUAGAACUUUUUCUUAGUCUUCUAAGUUUUACGCCACGUGUUGAUUCACGUUGAUUUUUCUUUAACAUCGUCUUAGUUCAAGUUUUGAAACUUCAACUUUUUGUGCACAUAGCAAUUCAAGAUUAAGCCUUUGAUUGAUUUUCUUUAAUUUCGCGAAGCCAUUUUUGAAAGUUUUCUCUGCUCUUCGAGCCUCGUUUUUCUGAGUUUUCUGCGUGAUUUCAAAGUCACCUCCGAACGCAAUCCAACAGGCCCAGGUCAUCCUCUGUGCCAGAGUUUUUGAGUGAGACUAAAGAAGUACCCAAACGAGCAUCCACAGGAUCCACAGGCGCUGGCUUUGCUUCGGGCCCGAGUGCUGCAACUCCUGGCUCAUCCUUCGGCUGACUUCAGUCGUCUUCUGAGCUGAACCGCUCGAACCGCCAGUAGCCCCGGACCUUCGGAACCUGCUCCAUCUUCUCCAAGGACCAGUCUCACUUAAGUAUGCAAACCUCCAGAGCUCCAGAGAGGGCUGGUGCUGUCUCAUGCGUUCAUAACUCAGAUAUCCACCUAUUUCUGGUGAUCUUAGAUUCCUCCAAAUCCACAUCCGAGUUUAUCUCGACACCAAAGUUAGUGUAGGUUAAUAUGUUAGCGCAUAUUCACUCACUAUCAUUAACUUUAGUGCUCCUAGCCUGACUCAGAAUCUUUAUUUAUUCACCUAUUAUUAUUUUAUCCUCAUUAUCUUAUCAUCAUUUAUUGCAUGUGUGUUGUACCAUCAUUUAUCCUGUAAUAAACAGAUCAUUAUAUUUGUAAGUUCCUGUCUGUUAGUGUUCUUCCAGAAGUGGAGUCCCUGAAAUUAGAAUUUCGACUUAAGAUAUGAGACUGAUUAAUUAAGACUGACUUGAUGUUUGACUUCUGAAUUAAACUUUUGUUUUCUUUAUUUUCCCACCAUUAAGGGUGGGUGGUGCCCCUUUCAACGAGUGCAUAAAUGUCAUAAUUUGAGAUUAUUAAUCUUCAGACAUUUAUUAUAAAUUCCAAUCGCUACAGUACUAUUUUGGUACGGCCUUGUGAGGCUCAUUUCAACCGCUACAUAUAUUUUGUUGCGACCGUGUGAGGCUCAUUUCAAAUCACUACACUGGUUACACAAUGUUACUAAAGGAUGGGGGGGAGUAAAUUUGUGCAGCAACAUAAGCACUCUCAUAAAACAUAAUUAUGAACAACAGAAAAUAUGUGAGGGUCAGGGCAACAUUGUUGACAUUAAACGAGGUCCUAAUAGGAGUGGAGAAACAAGGUCACAGAGAAGUUAAGAAACAUUGAUGUGCUGUGUAAUAAAGCUAUUGGAGAGAAAAGUUAGAAAACACUGUUAUAUGAUGUGUAACGAGAGGUUAAAACAGUCCAUACUUGUAGCAAACUCUUACAAAAGAAUUUGAGUAAGAUGAUAACUUCUACAUACAUUUACCUAUUCUGACAAAUUAUCAGAAUAUGAGGACAUCAGGCUAUAUAUACAUAUUACUGUAAACUUCAGAAUUAAAUCAGAACAAAACAGUAGUCAUAAUUAAUACAUAAACGUUUUAUUUUGAUUUUUAGCUCAAUAAUAAAUUUAAUUCGAUUCUUAUGGAAUGAACGGAGCAAAAAAAAAAGGAUCCGGCGACUAAAUCCGACUACCUGAAGUAUUUCGGCGCCGGAAGUCCGCCAACGAGAAAGCCUUUCCACCGGAAGUAAUUGUUUUGGGUCCGCCAAUCGGAGGAACUUAUUGCGUUUUGUAAAUGUGGUUUUCUAUCUUUGGGUCCGCCAUCUUGCGCUGCAUCUGGUCACCUCUCCAUUCUUCCUGUCCAGAGUGAUGUGGCGGCGCAGUAGCGCCCCCACUGACCAGCCGCCACAGCUACAGGUUCACCUUAAGUUAACUGACCUCCAAACAAGUUUCUUUCAGGCAACAGAUAAGAAGAGAAAUUAUCGAGUCUUUUAAUUUUUUAAUUGAUUGAUUGAAGUUUCUUUCGCAAACCAAAAAUAUCUAUAAAAAAACAAACAAACAAGAAAAGUAAGAGAAAACAUUUAAACAUAAAACAUAGGAAUACAUAUUCGAAAAGCAGUGAGAAGAAUAAUAAUUUAUGAACUCCCACCCCUCCCUUGAAAUAAUAAGUACCCACACCAAACAUUCUUGCAUCUUGUUUUGAUAUUCCUGAUAAUUAUCAUAAAUAAAGUACACUCAUGACUUUAUAUUACAAAACAAAAUCUACAUCCACUUAAUACAGCACACACAUAAAACAACAAAACAAUAUAAAACAAGAAAGAAACAACACAAAACAAAAAAACAAAAACAAAUAAUAACCUCAUAACACUUCCUCAUCCCCAUACCUCUUAAAAAUUGUGUAUUUAUACCUGUUUUUAAACUGUGUCAUGUUUGAACAUUGCUCUAACUCUAAAAUUUAACUGUGACUCUUAAUGGAGCUGAUGUUUUACCCCUGAGCUGAUCAGACUGACAGUAUUUGCUGUUUGGCCUUAAAGGAUGGUUUGUUUCAAGACAGCAGAAAAGUACAGUGGCCUAAAGGGUCAACUGCACAAACAUGAUGCAAAUAACUUUCCCCAGAAAGGCAAACCCAUUUCACAAAAUUCAAAAAUAUAUACUGUAAUAUAAUCAUAUUUUUUCAAAUGUAGAAACAGUAAAAACCAUGUAAGAUGAAAAAUGUUUUAUCACUUUAUUUCAUUAAACUCACAAACAUUGUUCACCUUAAACAUGCGGGUUUGUUUGCUCUGCAUAUAAACUCUGAACAGAUUUAUUUACACACUGUUUGCUGUUCUGUCCUCGUUUUUUCCUGUGUGUUGUUUCCCCUACAGUGCCGCACGUUUUGGUGUUACAGAUUUCCAGAGUAAUAUUUGGAGCGAGUUAAAAACCCUGAGGGGCCAAGAGCAGAGACAGACUGCAGCGAGUCACGGGAGGUUUGCAGGUUUUCAGCUGAUAAGAAUUGCAAAGAGUAAAAAAUAAAAAAAAUACAGAUCAGAUCAGAUCAGAGGGAGAAAUGCCUCCUGCCUCCUCGCAACCCCCCUCGGCUCUGUGGCUCUGUACGACACUUUUUCAGGCUGUUUGACACUCUUUCUGUGUCACUGUACUCGCUCUGUAAAUCUAUUUUUGGCGGGAUGGAGGGAGAAGAGAAAACGGUAGAGAGAUGGAGGGAAAGUGGGAGAAAAAUGUGCAGUUUUUCCAUCACGUGUCAAAAAAUGCAGAUAUUUUUAGAUAGAAACUCCUGAUCAGUAACACUGUGUAUCUUUAUCAACAGAGGCUUUAUAUCAGCCAUGUUUCUCUCAGUCAGGAGGCGACAGUUUCUUCUCAAAUUAUGACUUUAUUUAAUGAAUGGAGAAAGCAGGACAAAUUUUUAGAAAAAAAAUUAAAUAAAGUUUUAAAUAAAGCUUGCUGAUGUGGAAAAUUAGCUUUUUUGAAUGAGUGUGUAUGUGGUCCCCAGUGCCUCUGCAACCAGCCUCUAGUGGACACUCUGGGAACUGCAGGUUUUUAGCAUCUCUGCUGUGGCUUCAUUUCACAAGACUAGAGGUUGCUGCUUGGGAAUAAAGGGAGUCCAAAACGUUGUCGUUCAUGCUCAUAGGGGUUGAAGUGGUUUUGUAAAAGACCUGAUAAACGAAACAGAUGUCUCCUCUGAUAUUAACCAGGAAGGAGAAUUAAACAACAAUUUAUUCAGACAUCUCAAGAUGUCUACAGUUGAUUUAAUGAUUUAAAAGGGGGCAGUAUUAAAGUUUUUCCCCAACCAGGGAGGGUCAGAGUUAAUCCAGGGCUUGAAAAACACAGCAGGAUCUGGUCUUGAUCAGUUGAAAUUAGACGAAUUUGGAAAUCUUGACUUGAUAUAAAGCCUGGUAAGGCCUUUUUUAGACCUGGUUGAUAUGCUGUGCAGUUUAUGUGUAUAACAUAGUAUCUACUGUUCCUUCAGGACUCUGAAAUACUGAGACUCACCAUGAACAGAUAUACAGGCAUUUCCUUGUUAGAUGUAAUGAGCCAAUUCAUAGUGUUUACUGGAGGAUUUUUCUUCCCUUUAAAUCCAAACACAGGGUUUCAUUAGCAGCGCAGCAUAAUAUAGAUCUGUAUCUGAGUGUAAAUGUUCUAUCUAGAGGAGAAUCUGAGCUGAUCUCACAUGAUGACAUCUGUCUAUUAUCAGGUUACUGCUGAUGGGAACUGGGAUAUUAAUACAGAGGGCCGUGUUACGCCUGCUUCUGCUUUCCAGCCAGACUUUAUUUACUGAUAUUCUAAUGUUAGCUCCAUAAAUAGAUAUGAUGUUGGCUCUGUUGAUAAGAACUGUUGGCAGAAGAGAAUACUUUGCUUAGUUUUACACUUUCUGAAGCUGUUUUCGUCCUCUGUGUCCGACUGUUUCUUGUGUUUCAGUGCCAAUCAGAGCUGCAGAUACAGACAACUCCAUCAUAUGUUUAUCAGAGCUUCAGUCCCUCUGCUUCCACACCAGGGAGCCUCCAUCAGCUUGCCGCACAGCAUGCUGGGAGCUCUGGUUCCUCUGCGGCUCCAUCAUUUUCACUUCUCUUCUUGUUCUGUCUGAAACAUCUUCCCUGACAUGGCUCUGUCCUGACUGAAGUGUGUUCUCUCUCUGAUAACAGGUCACGUGAUCUGCAUGAAUUCACGUGGAUUCGGCCGACUUCAAAGAUAGAGGAGGAGUUUGCUCAAAGGAGACCGAGGGCGUGAUAAACGUAUGGAAAUCCCUGACGCUCUUCAGAGCCACUUGUUAUGCCAAUCACAUCAGCUGUUCUUUCAGCCUGACGAGGAAACACGCUCACCUGAACUCCUACAAUUACAAUUCAGACUCACCUUGAGAAGCAGAGGGAAGGUUUGCUCAUCUUAAGAGAGACUCAUGGAUGGCUUACAUCAGACGGGGGUCUACUGAGCAAAGACUCAGGGGCUGGGGGGGAGGUUGGGGCUUUCUAAGGUCUCGGUCUUUCCAACAAAGAAGCUUCUAUUACCCGCUGUUCAAUCACCUUUAAAGAAAAAUAUAAACUCUUUUGAGAUCCUGAAAAGGCUGAACUCACAGGCUCCCCAAUCUCUGUCAAAGACACCUGCACCUUCUUCAGACUCAAUCAUAGCAGCAGAGACGACAGCAGACUCUGAAGACGCUGCGCCUCAAGAAUUAUAAUCUUCUUCUGCUAAAUUGGAGCACGGGCCAUCUUUUUAUUACUUUAAUGACAUGCAGAUCAAUGAAAGUCAUUAAAUCUGAUCAAAUCUGAAAUCAGUUUGUUUUAAAAGGACAAAAAUAUUUCAUUAUUUACAGCCACCAAAAGAUUCAAAGAGUCUCUGUAUAAAUCUCUGUACAGAGGCGACCAAAAUCAAGAUUGAAUGGUCCUGAUUUCGAGGCCCUGAGGCAACACUGCAUUAAAAACAGACAGGGAAAUACUGCAUUUGCUCAAAAACCAUGGCCUGUGAACACAGUUUAUCACUGCAUCCACAGAUGAGGUCAAAACUGAACCAUGAAAAGAGGAAACCAGGUAGGAACAGAGAAACACCAGAGACUGACCAAUCAGAAUCUGACAUUCUCUCUGAUAAUCAUGGUCCUGUGAAUGCAGUUGAUGAAAAUGAAAGGUUUAAGCAUAAAUAAAUGUGAUCUCAUUGAAGAUGGACUGAGGGGAAGAGGAAAGUCAGUUAAGUGCCUCCAAAGUCCAGCAACAAACCGCUGACAGAGACAGUUUGGGAGUGGAUCAUGAAGAUUGAAAAACCAGAUAUCCAAAUAUUUUCCUGAAGAUAGACGGUUAAAACUAGAUGAAUUUUAGUGAAACUAAUUUGUUUUUUCUAAAGCCCUGUGAAAAUGAACUUGCUGAUAAAGAAACAGCUUGUGUGCCAGUGGCCACUGACCCCUCAUCUCUGCUUUGCUGUUUGAUGUUGCAGCGGAUGACACCCUUUGACACUGGCGUGGUGAUCUUAACAGCUCAUAUCUAGCCCUCUGUGGAUGUUUCUCUGAUCCUGGUCGAGCCUCAGGGGGACGACAGAUAAUCACAGAGCUGGCACAGAGUCCAACAUGUGACCCAAACAACCUACGACCAGAUCUUCUCCUCUGAAGUGAUUCAUUUCCUGUUUGGCAGUGCUGCGUCUGGCUUGGCAGCCAAUCGGGGCCUGAGUGGACUCUCCCCCUCUUCAUAACUUUGGAUAACAAGGAGAAACUGUGACCUCUGACCCACAGAAGGACGCCAACCACAGGCCUCAGUCAGGAAACAGGAAACAACAGGUCUAUGCUCAGCUCACGAGGGCCUACCCAUAAUUCUGAGCACGUUUUAUCAAUAUCCAUCUUCACACGGAGGAGUUUCCAAUAUUUCCACGUGUUAGUGAGCUCAGGAGACCAGGUUCAAGAGUCUGACAGUGAAAUGUUGUCCGAUUCAUGCCUAAUAGAGGAUUUCAGCUGCUCAAAGGUUUAGGAUCUCCUCUACUCACUGAACUCUCCUCUACUUUUGAGCGUCAAGGCUUUGGUAGACAACAAGCUGAGGGCCCCUCUGCUCUAUGGUGUGGAGGACGUGGUGUCCAUGAUCUCCAAACAGAAUGUCAAAUUUUGAUUCGGCACAGGACAGUCUGGCAAGACAGAGGCAGUAACAUUCGAGAGUUAAGUUGUAAAGUUAUGAAAAAAGUUUUUAUUUUAGGAAAAAUAAGUCAUACAUUUUUAAGAGUGGCUUCAGGUUGUGUUUUAUUUUGAAAGGGCAGAUCAGAGAGCAGGUGUCGCACGUUUUUAGCCCAUUAGAAAGACUGAUUUUGGAGCCCAGACUUCUUAUAAAUAUCUAAGAUACUAGACUUGGUACUGAAGACUGGGUCAAUGUUUUUAUUUCUUUUGUAGCUCACCAAAAUAAUAUGAAACUUUGAAUUACAGCACAAAAACAGCAUUUUAAUUUGAAUUUAAUUGAGAAGUGUCUCCACACAUGUGCAGUAUGUAAUAGCUAAAGUCAGCCUUGAACAGAUAAUAAAGGAGUUCAUGUUAUUUUGAUGCUUCAGGCUGUUGCUACAGAUCUGUCACCGAGCGGUCACGGCCCUUUGGGGAGAAGGAAUCCCCACAUGUUCAAGUCUGUGUUAGUGUGUGGACUCCCGGGCCUGUAAAACAAACGUUAUGUAACCUGGUGAGCUGCAGACAGUCUGAGCCCAGAGGUAACAGACACAAGGAUCAUCCCUGAUUACUGUUUCUGCUCGUUGGACCACAGAGAGACUGAAAUGAUGUUUUUCUGCACACAUCGUCUCGCUGCCUCUGCUUGACUCGACUCGUUUGGCUCUCAGACUUGUACGUUCUGUCUUUUCCAAUGAGGUUCACAGACUCCCUGAGCAAAACAUAAAAAUAACACUGCAUACCUGUUAAAGCCUUAAACACCAAUGCAGGCAGUAAGUUUGCGCACCAAAAAGCCUUAUGUUCAUUGAUGGAUAAAUGUCUUUUUUUUCAAACGACACACCCAGAAAUAUAACCUUCAGAAACACACUGAUAACAACAGCAGUUUUACCCUGCAGAGUGUGGGAGCUGCUGGUCCACUCCUGCCUAAAUAAGGGGUUGUGUGUGUGUGUUAUUGUGUGGCCCCCAAAUAUUGUGCAGACUUAAACAUUCCUACUGAGCAAUAGACGACUACUAAACGUCUAGUUUUUUUUUAGACCUAUAAUUUCAACCGUCUAGAUUCUGUAUAUUUUUAGACGGAAUUGAGACGUUGCACUUUCACUCAUUACUCAAUAACUAUUUAUGUCAAAAAGCAACUGUGAGUUGCAUAACUGAUCUGUAAAUACUGAACCAAAAAAUUAUGAUAGCCGUUGAGCAAUAUACAGUCAGACCUCCAUUAGCCGGCUAGUCUAAACUUUGUCGAAAUUUAGAUGUCCAAAAAACUUUCAUUUUUAGACCUGUGGUAGCCUGAUUUUAGACCAGUCAUCUAGACUACAUUUAGACAUCUACUGACGUCUUAUAGACCAAAAAAUACUCAGAGGGUGAGAAACACAAAAGCCAAACAACAAGAAAAGACACUACGUUAUAGUGUCAGUGGUAGACCAACAACUCCUGUGUUCUGCCAACCCAAAUUUCUGACAUGACAGGAAUUCAUCCAGUCAGUCAGGAGCAGCUGAUCAGGCUUUUAUGGGCUUUUGUCAACUUCAAGUGAAAUUUGGUCCAGGCACAGUUUAACUGCUGAGCUGUACCUUUGAAUUCUGUAAAGUGUGCAAAAAUGGGCCGUGGUUAAAAGUGUCAGGAUCAUCUGUUUAAUAUGCUGAUGAUGAUGCAAAACUCACCACCAGUUUUUAAAUGUGAUAUGACGGAGAGAUAAACACGUUCCUGAAGAGAAAUGUUCACCUCCUGCAGAUUUUUCACUGACUGUAAAUCCUCAGGUUCGUCAAACACUUGUGGCGCUCUGAGCUGCAGUAUGGCGAGCAUGUGUUUGGCAGUCAGGGUGGCCUUGAAAACAUUUCUGCAAGUGUUUCAGAGGAAUGAGGAGUAUGUGGAUGUUGUGUUUUUAUCUGUGGUUUCUAAAGAAGGACACACUGUGUUCAUGCUUUCUGUCAGAGUGGAGGUUUUAUGGAUUUAUCUCUGUAAAUUUCUGUGCGGUUUUGGCAGAUAUCAGUUGGUGAAUGGAGCUUCAGAAACACACAAACAUGGUCUCAUGUGUUGUGUUGUAAUCUGCUGAUUUACAGUCUAUGAAGGUGACUGUGUCAUUCAGCUGAAACUGGAGAUGGCACGUAUUUCUGAAGCCUCACUGACUGUCCUUGAACCUGUAAGUCUCACCUCACUGCAGAUCUGUUUAUAAGAAAACCGAUCCAAUACAGAAAUAUAGAAACCUCAGAAAUAUCACUGUUUUUGAGAGUAAACACAAAAGUCUUAAAGAGGACUACAGUUCUAGAUUUUUGGGUCUGUAUGAGAUCACUGAUCUAAAGAAGGCUGCUGAACUUGAUGGCCACGUGUUUACAAAAGCUGGACUCUCAAAACCAUCAGUAACAAGCUGAGGACAUCAAAAAUACCCUACCCCCUAAAAUGAUACAUUUAUUUCUCUCAUAUGCUUUUGGCUCAAUGGGUAAAUAUAAGUUUUUGAUAACCCUUUCUUUUACGGUACACUUAUUACCAGGUAAUUACCUAGAAACAACAUGAAAUUAUCUGGUAAUUACAUGAUAACUACUAAGUCAAUAAUGUCUAGCUACCAGGUAGGUAACCUUCCAUCAUCAUACAAAUCUGAAGCUGAAUUGCUCUGGUAUUUCCAGGAUUUUCUCCGCUUCCUGGAACCACCUCUUGUGCAGUAGCAUUGUACGCAUUUGGUGGGUGAGUCGCUGUGAUAAUGCUCGGCUCAAACAGCGUAUCGCUAUGCAGUCUUCGCACGCCCAUAGGCUGUAUCAAGUGUCAAUCAUAGAAUAAAAAAACCCCAAAUAGCUUUUGAAAAUGGAGCUGCACAGAAAAAAGAAAAAAUAGACAGUAUUGACUUAGUAGUUAUCAUGUAAUUACCAGAUAAUUUCAUGUUGUUACUAGGUAAUUACCUGUUAAUUACCUGGUAAUAAGUGUACCAUAAAAGAAAGCAUUACCAAGUUUUUAAAACAACAGCUCUAUUGAUUAGCCAAUUUAUCAAUAUAUGAUUCCCAUUUCAGCGCUCCAGAGAGUCAGUCAGAGUUUGGGUUUAAUCUUCCUAAACCACAUUUUGUUUAUUUACUGAAUUUUUCUCACAUAACAGCAAUGCCAAACAUAUUCCACAGACCUCAGACCCACAGCCCGACCUUUGACCCAGCCUCAGUCCCAGCAGGUCAUCUGCAGCCAACUGUAAUAAUGUCAGCAGUCCAACAGUGUGGUCAGAAAUCAUCACUGUUUAGGGACAGAAACACAGCUGCUUUCAGUUCACAGAGGGUGGAAUUUCAAACCAAAAUGUGUUUAACGCUUUCAAACAUCCACCGAUACUCCUUUUCAGGCCACAAUGAGAUGGAACUGGAGAGUUUCGAUAACCACCAACCACAGAAAUGGUUUCACUGGGCUGAGACUUUGGUGGUAAGUUAAUAUGCACAUUAUAUCCAGGUUUUUGGAUAUGAGAUUUACGAUGUUGCCAAAAAAUGUUGAGUUAUGUUUGUGUCUCAUUUCUUUGCAUAAACGCAAGUUUGUAUUUUCAGAGUUUUGUCCAAAUGUGAAAAGUUGAGGUGUUCCGUCAGCCUGAAAAAGUCCCUCCUGAUGGCACCAAAGUUGAGGCUGAUUUGAAUAAUUUCUUUGGUAUGAUUAUCUAUUACUCUGUAUGAAGAUGAAGAGGGCCGUGGAUGCAUAAGCUGAAAUAAAACUUAAUUUGUUACCAUUUAACACGACCUUGAAGCUCAAAAGCAACGUUUCAUUUCAAGUUUUUAUAUUGUUAACCUUUCUGAAUCUGACUUUGCUGCAGAAAUAUUAUUUCAGAUCUCCACUCACUCGUCUACAGAUAUCCUCUCUUCACUCCUCUG